CUCGGUUAACUAUCGGUUUCUGAGCCGGGUGUUCGUGAAGCAGUCGGAUUACGAAACAUUUCUAUGGAGGUGCCAAAAAUGAACGGUACAGUCAAGUGGUUCAACGCAGAGAAGGGUUAUGGCUUCAUUUCCAACGACGAGGGCGGCGAGGACGUCUUCGUGCAUUUCUCCGCCAUCCAGGCCGAGGGCUUCAAGACCCUGGAGGAGGGCCAGAAGGUUACUUUUGAGACCGAGCCCGAUCCCAAGAACAGCGAGAAGCUGCGCGCUGUUAACGUUAUAAAGCUGUAAGCUUAGAAGCGUAAAAAGGCCGGGUCUCCUUAUUGGGGGCCCGGCUUU
RNAcentral lists this small RNA (336 nucleotides) under Hungateiclostridiaceae bacterium KB18. RNAcentral describes it as "Ruminiclostridium sp. KB18 cspA thermoregulator". It matches the Rfam family "cspA thermoregulator", at positions 76 to 428 of the family's 428-position model. The record is from Rfam by way of RNAcentral. Lineage: Bacteria; Bacillati; Bacillota; Clostridia; Eubacteriales; Oscillospiraceae.